Triticum aestivum (bread wheat) is the source of this 2369-nucleotide long non-coding RNA. RefSeq lists it as uncharacterized. The transcript is spliced from 2 exons. NCBI's taxonomy places the organism in Eukaryota, Viridiplantae, Streptophyta, Magnoliopsida, Poales, Poaceae. The record is from RefSeq and is a predicted model, not a curated record.
UGUAAUCGGUCUAUCAGCGUUUUUUGAAGACUGUCACCACAAUGUUGGUGGUUUUUUGAAAAUAAAACGAAUGAUGACGGUUUUUUGAAUUAAGGUUCUCAAUUGUGGUGGUUUUUUGCAAUUUACUCGCAGUAGUUGGACCUCAAUCUGCCUCCUCCAACUGCAAUGUUGCGUGCAUUAGCAGUUCUGGAAUAAUCUAGAGUUGUAUGCCAUGCUUGCCCACGGCUCGUUCGCGGGAAGUGCAACACAUAUGGGAGGAGCCGAGCUCAUAUGGUUAGUUCAUCCUUUAAUCUUAGUGUCCGUCGAGACAUCUUGUUUUUAGAAUAAAAAAUUGGCUAGUCAAUUGUUGUGCACAAUGUAGCCCUUAGUUAUAAAAAUUUGUCUCGCAAUUCAGUCUCAAUAGAUGGUAAAGUUAGUUUGGAGCAGAGAUAUGUAAAAGUAUUUUAAUCUUUGAAGAACUAUAAGAAUGUCUAUCAGUGUUAUAAUGUUGACUGCCAUUUCCUCUUGUAACAAUAACAUGUCUAUCUGAAUUGUAAAUUCACAUAAUCUUUCUUAUAAAGUUUUCUAGAAUGUUUCUUACAUACAGUAGUUGAAAACCACACGUACAGCCUAGCGUAAGUGGGCAUUUAUAUUUAUACUGAGUCAUGUCUAUAGAUUGAGUAAUUGACAAAAUUCAUGCCAAAUGAGGGUCAACAAGGUUUGACUAACAGAAAUCCUAGUAUAACUCUCAGACAAACCGAGACCGCUGAGUACUGGAAGUUUAUGUGCUUGUUCUCACUUCGCAGCAGCUGGAACUAGAAAAGUUUGGCGGAUCAAUAGUUUUUCACGGUGUAAUAAACUGACUUACUGGCCAUUUAUGUUCUGAUGAGGUUUAUGGCGCAUCAGCUACCAGACCAAAAAUCUUUGGGGACAACUACAAUUAUGCAUUGCUUGUCUCACAUCAUUCUCUGGAUUUCGAAAUAGUAUGGGAACAUGUGAGAACUCAAUAUGUUUGAUCUGGCUUAUAUACUUAUUUUCCUGCCUUUUCAGGAUGACUGCGUUUCUCAAGUGAAAAUUAUAGUGUCUUCUUUUACUUUUAGCAAAUAUUAUGGGUAAAAUAAGAAGUUAGGACUGUUUAGAUUACUAAAAAGGAAACAAUGGCAUGGAGCGUGGCACACUGAACUCAAUACAUGUGCAGUUAUCGACUGCUACUUUCUUAGUUAGCUAUGUCGAAAUAGUUCAAGAAACAGCCUACAACGAGUGGGAAAAGGCAAAGGAGGUGAAUAUAACUCACUUAGUUGUGAGUAUGUCAUGUUUUUGUAGUUCAACAAAUGAUUUCCUUUUACAUGUUCUUAUAGGUGAAGAAACCACAAAAUCCACCAGGAGAAUUAGAUGAUGCGACAUAUAUGCAGGUUAUUUGGCAUGGCAAAAGUGUUUGCAGAUUUCUCAUAUUUAAUGUUGUACGGUGGUAAUAGAACUAACAUUGUGUGCUUCUUGAGAUCAUGUGUCUCUGGAGAUGUUCCACACACAAGUUGAGGCUAGAGUUUAAUCCAAGUACUGGGAUCUAGUUCAAACUUAGUUUGCAGUUUGAAGUUGAUAGAAUGUAGCUGACACCAUAUCACUAUUUAAAUUUCAUAUGAAAUAUGUGGUAUGAUGUACAUUCUGUCAGUAAUCUUUGUUCUGUUAGUGAUUUCUUCCCUUUUGUUUUUUCAUACACAUUGAUGGUGGAGUACAUGUUUUUAUAUGGCUUGUGGGUUGCUGGCCUAGUGGCAUCUGAAUUUUCUGUUGUACCGGUUGUGUCACAGAAAUGGAAAGCUUACUUUGGGCUAACUUGACCUGAAUCACCUAAGGUAACAGGAACAUGUUAGUACCGAAUCCUUAAAACAGGGUUGGUGUGGUGAGUGCUUAAACCAGGUUACUCAUGUGUGUGUGCCCAUCAUUUGGACACCAGGAGACCUCUCAAUAUAAGUACACAAAUGAAUUGGUUCAAUUAUUUUAAAUAGUUUAGAGUGAAGAAGAUUGGGUUGUUCUCGAAAGGCUUUUUUAGGUUCUAAUUCUUUAUUUUAUCAUGUAGGUGUUCAUGUGCGCCCACCAAUGGAUGUGUACAUGGCGCAAACUCCAUGGCUCGCGGCUCUCAAGUUUAGUUAGUUGUUAGUCUGCUGAUAAGCCACGACCAACUUAGUGGUUCGUUCUAGUACUGGGCAUUGUCAUGGUCAGUUUUGGUUCUAAUUCUGUAAUUGCGCUCAGACUGUAGCUCAUCUUGUAGUAGCUGAAUCUGACUAGCCUUGGUGGCCAUGUAAUUCAGCUGGAUCUAGUACUGGUGUCUGGUGCUAGUGUUUAGCAUGUAAAUGAUCUGAUUAUCUAUGGAAGUUUCAGUUUCGUUGUCUUAA